GGGGGUAGAGCUGCUUGGUAGCUCACAAGGCUCAUAACCUUAGGGUUGCGGGUUCGAUUCC
Molecule: transfer RNA, 61 nt
Filed under: Streptochaeta spicata
Lineage: Eukaryota; Viridiplantae; Streptophyta; Magnoliopsida; Poales; Poaceae
Description: tRNA-Met
Source: RNAcentral